RNAcentral lists this long non-coding RNA (945 nucleotides) under Struthio camelus australis. RNAcentral describes it as "lncRNA (ENSSCUG00000007706.1)". Lineage: Eukaryota; Metazoa; Chordata; Aves; Struthioniformes; Struthionidae. The record is from RNAcentral.
GUUUUUCUCUGCAAAAUGUCUCCGCUUCUCUGACACUUGAACCCAGCACCUCGUGUGGCUCAACACAGCAAAGACAUCUCAGGUGACAGCGAGAUUGUAAAUAAUAUGUACGAGACCGACCCUGAUCUCCUUGCUGGCGAAAGUGCAGAGGAGGAAACAGAGGACAGUAUUAUGUCCCCCAUCCCUGUCGGACCUCCGUCACCCUUUCCCACCAGUGAGGACUUCACUCCCAAGGAGGGCUCACCUUAUGAAGCUCCUGUCUACAUUCCUGAUGACAUUCCAAUCCCACCAGAUUUUGAACUCAGAGAAUCUUCGAUUCCAGGGGCAGGGCUAGGGAUUUGGGCCAAAAAGAAGAUUGAAGUUGGGGAAAGAUUUGGACCUUAUGUGACAGUACAGAGGAGCACGUUAAAGGAAGCAAACUUUGGAUGGGAGCAAAUACUGACGGAUCCUGAGGUGACUUCCCAAGAGGGCAACAUAAAAAAGAUUGCUGAUGACCUGGGAAAUGAGAAAUUCUGUGUUGAUGCUAGCCAGAGUGGAGCUGGGAACUGGCUGAAAUACAUCCGUGUGGCCUGUUCCUGCGAUGAACAGAAUCUAGCUGUGUGUCACGUUAAUGACCAGAUCUAUUAUAAAGUUAUUAAAGAAAUUGAGCCAGGAGAAGAGCUCUUGGCGUAUACGAAGGAAGGUGGCUAUUCGCUCGGGAACAUGGCGCCCAGCAUGGAAGAAGAGCACACGUUUCGUUGCGAGGACUGCGAUGAGCUUUUCCAGUCCAAGCUCGACCUGCGGCGACACAAGAAGUACGCCUGCAGCUCCGUGGGCUCGCUCUAUGAGACGCUGAACGAGGAGAUCAAGCAGGAGGCUCUUGGAGAUGGACAGGUCUAUGAGUGCAAAGACUGUGAGAGGAUGUUCCCCAAUAAAUACAGGUAAUGGAGAACUGCCGGCUGCUCC